UACAGAGGUCCCAAGCGUUGUUCGGAUUCACUGGGCGUAAAGGGUGCGUAGGCGGUCGGGUAAGUCUGAUGUGAAAUCUCACAGCUUAACUGUGAAAACUGCAUUGGAUACUAUCCGGCUAGAGGAAUGGAGGGGAGACUGGAAUACUUGGUGUAGCAAGUGAAAUGCGUAGAUAUCAAGUGGAACACCAGUGGCGAAGGCGAGUCUCUGGACAUUUCCUGACGCUGAGGCACGAAAGCCAGGGGAGCAAACGGG
Molecule: ribosomal RNA, 255 nt
Filed under: uncultured bacterium
Lineage: Bacteria
Description: partial 16S ribosomal RNA
Rfam family: Bacterial small subunit ribosomal RNA
Source: RNAcentral